UACAGAGGGUGCAAGCGUUCAUCGGAAUUACUGGGCGUAAAGCGUGCGCAGACGGUUGCGUAAGUCAGAUGUGAAAGCCCCGGGCUCAACCUGGGAAUUGCAUUUGAGACUGCGUAGCUAGGGUGCGGAAGAGGGAAGCGGAAUUUCCGGUGUAGCGGUGAAAUGCGUAGAUAUCGGAAGGAACACCAGUGGCGAAAGCGGCUUCCUGGUCCAGCACCGACGUUCAGGCACGAAAGCGUGGGGAGCAAACAGG
This 253-nucleotide ribosomal RNA is filed under the name uncultured bacterium. RNAcentral's name for it is "partial 16S ribosomal RNA". It matches the Rfam family "Bacterial small subunit ribosomal RNA", at positions 524 to 776 of the family's 1533-position model. The record is from RNAcentral.